Long non-coding RNA from Zingiber officinale, 929 nucleotides. RefSeq lists it as uncharacterized. Lineage: Eukaryota; Viridiplantae; Streptophyta; Magnoliopsida; Zingiberales; Zingiberaceae. The transcript has 3 exons. The record is from RefSeq and is a predicted model, not a curated record.
AAACCUUUUUCUUCCUCCCUCUCGUGACAUCGAGCAGCAUCGAUCCCUCUUCCUCUCCUCCCCAACUCGACGGCCACCCGAUCAUCUUCCCUAACCCGUCGCAGCUUCACGACGCCUAGCCUUCUCCCCGUAUACAAGACCCCUCUGCCAAGGAAGCCUCGAGCCAAGUCCUCCCAUUCUUCUCCUCCCCUGCCCCGUGCUCUAGGUUUUUCCCCUCUCCCUCUCUUCUGUCGACGCCGCUGACGCCCUCUCCGCAGUCCUCCUCUGCCUCCCAAUCUCUUCCCUUCUCUUGAUCUCCACCCGAACCCAGUCGCGAUCGUCCUCAUUGCGUCGCCUGAGGAGCACGUUGUUAGAUCCCAACAGUAUCGACGGAGUCCAGGGCAUCUUCAGACCAGUGAUUGCUUCUCCGAUGGUUUCUGCGCCGAUCGACGACUGCUCGGUAGCUAGGGCACGGUGGGGGACUGGAUUCACGUCGUCCCCAGCCGAUCUUAGUCCUUUCUCAAAGUUGUUCACAGAGCGAUCCGUGCCUCCCUUCUUGCUGAAUUGGACUGUGAGACACCAUCUGGAAGUGAUUGUUAGAGGGGAAGGUGUCGGAUCAUCCUAUUGCUAUUUUCUUCCCUGAUCAGAUUCUUGGCUCCUCUUUCUUGCGAUUGAUUGGAGUCUCAGAUAAGAGAUGUUGAGGAUCAGUGAGGACUUUGAUUUGAGACGGCAUCUUGAUGUGGGAUCUAUUUUGGAUACGAUCUCCAUUUUGAGGUUGAUGCUGUCGGGAGGUUCCAGUCGCUAGUUCCCCAUCACUUUGUGUCGCGAUGAUUUUUGGUUUACGAACUUGGGUUCCUUGUUUGUGUUGAUAUACUAUGUUGAUUUAUAUACUUGUGAUGUUGGAUUGUACUCGAGGAUUUUAUCGACUUCUAGUCUACUGCAUUUGUUUU